AGACUGACUUCUUACCAUCUUUCUUUCUUUCUUUUUUUUUUUUUUAAAGAUUUUUUAAUUUAUUUGUCAGAGAGAGAGAGGGGGAGAGAGAGCGAGCAGAGGGAGAGAGAGAGGCAGACAGAAUGGCAGGCAGAGGCAGAGGGAGAAGCAGACUCCCUGCCGAGCAAGGAGCCCGAUGUGGGACUCGAUCCCAGGACGCUGGGAUCAUGACCUGAGCUGAAGGCAGCUGCUUAACCAACUGAGCCACCCAGGCGUCCCUCUUACCAUCUUUCUUAAGGAUCUACAGACAUCACACUUAAGAUUAGUUUUGGAAGUAAAAGGUCUGAAGUCAGUUUCCCCAGAGCCCAAGUCAAGGUGUCCACAGGCUUGGAUCCUUCUGGAGGAAGGAGGCUCCCAGGGGAAAAUCUGUGGCAUUGCCUUUUUCAACUUCUCAUUGCUGCCUGUGUUCCUUGGCCUGUGACCUCUUCCUCCAUAGUCAAAGGACAUCACUUGAGUUUCUGCUUCCAACACCCUGUUGCCAUCUCCUCUGGUUCUGACUCCUCCUGUCUGCCUCACAAGGACUGCCAUGAUCACACUGCCACGGUGUGAGCAGCCCUAUGGGGGAACCCCCCGGCAAGGAAUGGAAGCUUCCGACCGACAGACCAAGGCUGGUGAGGAGCCAAGGCCUGCAACAGCCCUGCGGGACUGCAAGCGCGUCACCAGCCCCUACCGGACCCCGAGAUGAACACAGCCCUGGCUGGCGGCCCAGCUGCAAGCUUGCUAGUGGCCCUGACCCAGAAACCACCCUCCCAGUUGGGCUCUGCCUGGACCCCUGGCCCUCCAGAAACGUGAGCUAAGAGAUGCUCAAGUAUUGUUUGAAGCUGCUGAGUCUUGGGGCAAUCUGUCAUCCAGCAACAAAACCUAUCACAUACGUGCAUGGCGGAACGACCAGGAGGAUGUAAUGCAAAAUUCGGUGAGUGGUUUUUCUCUAGGUAGGGGGAUUACGGCUCAUUUUAGUUUCUCUUUUGGGACAUUGUUGGCAAUGUUUUUCCUUUUUCAUUGACUUAAAAAACCACAUGACCGAGAGAGAGGAUAGAACUUUCACAGGAUAAAAGGUUAAAGAUUAGUGGAGCUGAUUUUAACUCUAAUAACCUUUAAAGGCUCAAGUAAGUUAGCUUAAGUGUACCACAAAAACAAAAGCAAGAGGACCCUUCCGAGAGUGCACCUGCAUGGCCCAGUGGCGUGAGUUUCAUCAGCCAGAAACCUCACGGUGCAUUCAGUACCUGCAAGGAAAGGAGACUUGGACGGGCUUCUUAAAAGAGAAAUCCAUCAGUCAUGAAGUCACCUGCUAGCCAAUCACGGAGUCUCGCUUACCCAGCUUCUGGUCAAACCGCCACGCCGCCACGUAGGCAUUGUGCCUCAGACUGCUCUGCGUGGCCAGGGGCACGGUGACAUAAAUGGGCCCAUCCACCAGCACUGGCGUCCCAUCGCCUCUGAGCAAGUGGACGCUGACGGCCGUGACUGGGGUCAGGUCGUACCUGGUGCCGUUUCCUGCAAGCAAGAGGGAUUCUCCAUCACAUGUGCAGAAGGGACCUAUGUGGGGCUCAGGCCACUGUCUGCACCCACCAUUCACAAAGUAUGGUGCCUCCUACACGCCAGGGACUGUAGUAAGCACUUGGCAUUUCUAAAAUCCUCACUGCACCUUUGUAAGGCAGGCAAAAUCCACAUUUUAUACGUAAAAGCAACAGGCUCACGGAGGGCAGUCGUCGACAGGGGCUGGCCCCAGGGGCGUGGGGGUCUGCCUGGGAUCCAAGCUCAGGUUUGCCGACUCCAAAUACACUGCGGUGCUUUGCUUUCAAAAAGGGACCUCAAAAGGAAAAGACUCAUCUAUAAAGUGAGAGGACAGGAUGUGCAGAAAUCCCUGACAUCAACUCCUAGACAAAGUCAGCCCCAUGCACGUGUUAAUUAUUUGGCAGAGCCCCAUUGUGAAACCAAAUGUUUUAUAUUAGAGACUGCUUAAAAAAAGGGGGGGGGAUUUUUUUCCCCCCAAGGAAUGCUUCUACUAAAAGUAAACUACUGAAAACUUGGACUUGAAAUAUUUAUGAGUUAUUUUAGUUGCCAUUGUUAUUUUGAUCUGUUUAAAAGGAAUUUAAUACCCCAAUUAUUCUACAUUAGAGGGCUUUUACCCAAGCCUAUGCUUUAAUGACUGCCUACUUUAUAGAUAAAUCAGGGAAUGCUUAUGACAGUGAUAUUAUAUUUAUAUACUUAAGUAAUCCAUUUCAGGACAAUUUUUCUCCAGUGAAAUAUAAUAUCACACAAAAUGUUUUCUGUUAUAAUUUUAAAUCUUGAGCACAAUGACAAAAGCAUGGUGAUUAAAAAAAAAAUGUAAGCUCCAUCAGAACAUAAUCUAUAGGAUUUCUUAAGGUACUUAGAUACUUACCAACCUAUCAAUUCCCUGAGUUAAUGCAAACCUCCACUUAGGACUAGAUAUAAACAUUUAAAGUGAAUCUAAGUGAAUUUUAGGGUUCAACACCAGUUAUAGCUAAACCCUUUGUAGAGCAAUGUAUAUAUGGGUCACGACAGUGCUACCUUUCACAAUUUAUGCCCAUCUCUAUCCUUGAAGGAAAAGGCAUGAUGAUGGGAAUUUCAUCAAAAGGUCCAUCCUGGAAUCAGGUUCAAGUUCUGAAAUCUUGCAGUCUGGCCAUUUCACUUUAGGGUAAAGAAAAUCCAAACCCAGGAUUUACCAGAUUUCUGGUCAAAGCAUCUUCUGGAUGGAGACCUAAAUGUGCCAACUGCCCCCAAGAAGACACAGGAGUAAAAAGCCAGGGAUUUGCUUUUCUUAUCUGCAUCAUCUGGACUAGAUGCUUUCCUAUGAGCCUACGGAAAGAAAACAGACUCAGCUAUAAACAUUCAGAAAAACUCCCACUGACUGGACACGACCAAGAAUACUCCAAGGAAACCAGCCUCCAGCGCCCUUUCCAGUCCCAUUCGUGGCCUCCAUUCACCACUCCCAGACUCCAGUUACGCCCUGCCAUUUCAUAGGUGUGAACCAACACGCCCAGGGGUGGCCGCCUUUCCUGGCAGCGCUCAAGGAGUGUCUGAUUCCUCUUCCCACAUCAGCUGUCAGUUAUUUCAAUGGAAAAGAAGUUGCAUGUAACCUUCUGAAGACCUUCCUCCUUUCCUCUGAAAUAACGGAGUGAUUUUAAAAUAAAGCAAA
Molecule: long non-coding RNA, 3196 nt
Organism: Mustela lutreola (European mink)
Lineage: Eukaryota; Metazoa; Chordata; Mammalia; Carnivora; Mustelidae
Exons: 6
Source: RefSeq, a predicted model, not a curated record